Long non-coding RNA from Struthio camelus australis, 2375 nucleotides. RefSeq lists it as uncharacterized. NCBI's taxonomy places the organism in Eukaryota, Metazoa, Chordata, Aves, Struthioniformes, Struthionidae. The record is from RefSeq and is a predicted model, not a curated record.
CUACCGCUGGAAGUUAUGUGAAUGAGCAUAUGCUGGACUGAGGCCCUAACAACGUUUUGAAAUCCAUAAAACGUUAUCUAAGACUCAUCAAAAAAACUUUAGCAUUUGUUUAAAAGAUACGGUGACAGAUUCAAGGCAAGAAAUGGGACUAGGACAGGAAGCGGAUGACAUAAGCCAGUCAAUCUUGGUCUGGGUUAUUAAGUAGACCUCAGAUAGAAAACCUGAGAUGACGGUAUAGACUCGUUUCACUUCUGCUAAUUCUAAUAACGGAAGAUACGAUCCCAGAAGCAUUUCUAUGCCAUGGAAUAAAAAAACAACAAUACCCCACUGGAGGCGAGGACACUGCACGCACACAGAACAGACCAAACAGGCUCGCUGAACGCACACGGCUUGAACAAACCGAAGCGGUAACAGGGCUAUGUUGCGAUCUCGACAUCACACCUUGCAGGAGAGCCCCGCGGAGGCAAUUACGCUACCGCCGCCUGCUCUUCAAGGGGCUGUGGAUGUCAAGUACCCCUGAAAUCUGCUUACCUCAGUAGGGAUCUGGAGGGCAUGACCAGUGCUUCGCACAGCAGUGCAGCCUGGGUGCACUACUGACUGCUAUCAAGCACUGCAGUCCUCGCCGUUGUCUCCAUCCCUGCCUUGAAGAAACUUGAAGAGCUUGUUUGCCUCAGAGCGGAACUGCUGACCUGUCUCCUGCAAUGCCUCUUUAUUCUGCUCCACUCUAUUGUGCUGCUUCGGAUUCUUGCUUGGCUGAUUUGCUAGUAAACUCGGGUCACCUAUAUAUGUCCUGCGCUCGCAUGCCAAGAGGUUAGCAGAGAUGUGUCUAUCUGGCUAUGCGUUUGGCAAAAACAAACCCAUCCUUUUGUCACCAAAUGAGACGUCAUUACAGGCAGCUUCUGGCCUCUCCCUCAGCAAAAUUAGGCUAUAAAAAUUGUAGGUCUCCGUCCUGUCCUGUUUGUUAGAGUUAAUGAGAAGAAAAAACCAGUCAAAGGCAGGGGUGCAGGGGCCUCAACCCUUCUUAAUUUGGCAGGACAAUUUGCAUCAACGGUAGCGAGGUGACUCAGCGCGCAAGCGGUAAGUUGGUAGGUGGUUAGCGAGUGCUCCCCUGCUUUGGCAGGGUUGCAGGAUGCCGUUAUGUCGUUUCUCGGGAUGCAUUAACACCUUGCCUAAUCUGCGCGCUUCCGUGGGGGGUUAUCCUUGCACCUCCUGCAAGUGUGAAAUAGAUGGAGAUCCCUGACACGCAGAGUGUUUGCGGGUGGAGAUUCGGGAUCUGUGCCAGCAGCGUGUGUCGACUUUGAGCCCUCAUUUCCCCGUAGAGUGUGGCUCUGACAACGCGGACAGGCACUUCCCGUUAGAUGCUUACAGACACUGAAAAUAGACACUCCAUUACUGUUGCACAUUAGCCGACAGUAAUGAUAGGGGUCUGCUUACUAGUACAGAUAUAUACUGGCAAUCUGGCCACUUUUCAUGCUUUAUUUAUCAGGUAUUAAUUGCAACUUCCACUUACCACCACCAGACUCAAUUGCUGCAUUGUCGGUUACGGCGAUCAGACAUUUACUUAUUUUUGCUUUUGUUAUUAGCAUCAGAAAACUCAAUUACGCGUGAGCACACAUGCAUACACAAACACACAGUAGUAGGUUUGUGCUGAUGUUUUUAAAGAUACACAUCUGCUGAUACUAAAAAUAGGUCCUUGUCAGCAGCUUGGUAAUUUUAGGCUCAAUGAGAAUUCAUCCCCAUGGUAACUGUACAGUUGUUGAAUCAUUUAUUAUUUGAGCUUCAAAAUCACAACAGUGCUGGCAAUUUUCAUCCUUUGAGCAUUUUUAAGGACCUUCUGCUAUAUUGCAGUACUCCUUGCUCCACGUCACCAAUAUUUAUCAAGCUACCAGCACAAGCCCUUGAACUGACUACCUGCUUCUCCUCGUCUGUAUCUGGACUGGGAUCCUAGACAGCAAUGGCAGUUUAAAUUGGUUUCACUUUGGCGUUGUCCUGCUGGCAUGGCUGCUUGGCUGAGGACGGUAUGCACAAAGCCCUGCAAACUCCUCACUGGGAAAGCUGUGCAAGCAGAACUUUAGUGCAGCCCUAAGCUUGGGUGUCUGUCAGAAAACAAGCUAUCAUCUCAGGUCUCUGUGUUGCAAGGAGACCUGAGAUAAGGUGCUAGUAGUUUUUAAUGGUGUAGAUAGGUGGUGGUUGACUCCAAGCUGGUGGGGGGUACGCUGCCUGGCUUCUGGAAGAUAAAAGCUGUUUGUACUUUCUCUCACUUGCUGAUAAUGCACAUUAGCACAUUUGUCUUGUGCUAAAACAAAGGAAAAUUGGCCUACUUGGCUGACAAAGCAUAAGGUGAAACUCAGGCCCUCUGAGCCUGGACUUUCUUG